CCCAGACUGAAUUGUCAGUGAGCGGAGUCUGAGGUCGCUGUGGACUGCCCACUGGGCCUUGCCCGAGAUGGACAGCCGGAUUCCUUAUGAUGACUACCCGGUGGUUUUCUUGCCUGCCUAUGAGAAUCCUCCAGCAUGGAUUCCUCCUCAUGAGGUGGGAACCAUCUGUAUUCCUGAGUAGGAGAUUUUUUUCCCCGUGGGCAUGAGAUGAUGCAUGAAAGAGGGUACACCACCCGGACUACAACAAUGAGUUGACCCAGUUUCUGCCCCGAACCAUCACACUGAAGAAGCCUCCUGGAGCUCAGUUGGGAUUUAACAUCCGAGGAGGAAAGGCCUCCCAGCUAGGCAUCUUCAUCUCCAAGGUGAUUCCUGACUCUGAUGCACAUAGAGCAGGACUGCAGGAAGGGGACCAAGUUCUAGCUGUGAAUGAUGUGGAUUUCCAAGAUAUUGAGCACAGC
RNAcentral lists this long non-coding RNA (458 nucleotides) under Homo sapiens (human). RNAcentral describes it as "HSALNT0283407". The record is from RNAcentral. Lineage: Eukaryota; Metazoa; Chordata; Mammalia; Primates; Hominidae.